This 2906-nucleotide ribosomal RNA is filed under the name Escherichia coli. RNAcentral describes it as "23S ribosomal RNA". It matches the Rfam family "Bacterial large subunit ribosomal RNA". The record is from RNAcentral. Lineage: Bacteria; Pseudomonadati; Pseudomonadota; Gammaproteobacteria; Enterobacterales; Enterobacteriaceae.
GGUUAAGCGACUAAGCGUACACGGUGGAUGCCCUGGCAGUCAGAGGCGAUGAAGGACGUGCUAAUCUGCGAUAAGCGUCGGUAAGGUGAUAUGAACCGUUAUAACCGGCGAUUUCCGAAUGGGGAAACCCAGUGUGUUUCGACACACUAUCAUUAACUGAAUCCAUAGGUUAAUGAGGCGAACCGGGGGAACUGAAACAUCUAAGUACCCCGAGGAAAAGAAAUCAACCGAGAUUCCCCCAGUAGCGGCGAGCGAACGGGGAGCAGCCCAGAGCCUGAAUCAGUGUGUGUGUUAGUGGAAGCGUCUGGAAAGGCGCGCGAUACAGGGUGACAGCCCCGUACACAAAAAUGCACAUGCUGUGAGCUCGAUGAGUAGGGCGGGACACGUGGUAUCCUGUCUGAAUAUGGGGGGACCAUCCUCCAAGGCUAAAUACUCCUGACUGACCGAUAGUGAACCAGUACCGUGAGGGAAAGGCGAAAAGAACCCCGGCGAGGGGAGUGAAAAAGAACCUGAAACCGUGUACGUACAAGCAGUGGGAGCACAGAGCAAUCUGUGUGACUGCGUACCUUUUGUAUAAUGGGUCAGCGACUUAUAUUCUGUAGCAAGGUUAACCGAAUAGGGGAGCCGAAGGGAAACCGAGUCUUAACUGGGCGUUAAGUUGCAGGGUAUAGACCCGAAACCCGGUGAUCUAGCCAUGGGCAGGUUGAAGGUUGGGUAACACUAACUGGAGGACCGAACCGACUAAUGUUGAAAAAUUAGCGGAUGACUUGUGGCUGGGGGUGAAAGGCCAAUCAAACCGGGAGAUAGCUGGUUCUCCCCGAAAGCUAUUUAGGUAGCGCCUCGUGAAUUCAUCUCCGGGGGUAGAGCACUGUUUCGGCAAGGGGGUCAUCCCGACUUACCAACCCGAUGCAAACUGCGAAUACCGGAGAAUGUUAUCACGGGAGACACACGGCGGGUGCUAACGUCCGUCGUGAAGAGGGAAACAACCCAGACCGCCAGCUAAGGUCCCAAAGUCAUGGUUAAGUGGGAAACGAUGUGGGAAGGCCCAGACAGCCAGGAUGUUGGCUUAGAAGCAGCCAUCAUUUAAAGAAAGCGUAAUAGCUCACUGGUCGAGUCGGCCUGCGCGGAAGAUGUAACGGGGCUAAACCAUGCACCGAAGCUGCGGCAGCGACGCUGAUGCGUUGUUGGGUAGGGGAGCGUUCUGUAAGCCUGCGAAGGUGUGCUGUGAGGCAUGCUGGAGGUAUCAGAAGUGCGAAUGCUGACAUAAGUAACGAUAAAGCGGGUGAAAAGCCCGCUCGCCGGAAGACCAAGGGUUCCUGUCCAACGUUAAUCGGGGCAGGGUGAGUCGACCCCUAAGGCGAGGCCGAAAGGCGUAGUCGAUGGGAAACAGGUUAAUAUUCCUGUACUUGGUGUUACUGCGAAGGGGGGACGGAGAAGGCUAUGUUGGCCGGGCGACGGUUGUCCCGGUUUAAGCGUGUAGGCUGGUUUUCCAGGCAAAUCCGGAAAAUCAAGGCUGAGGCGUGAUGACGAGGCACUACGGUGCUGAAGCAACAAAUGCCCUGCUUCCAGGAAAAGCCUCUAAGCAUCAGGUAACAUCAAAUCGUACCCCAAACCGACACAGGUGGUCAGGUAGAGAAUACCAAGGCGCUUGAGAGAACUCGGGUGAAGGAACUAGGCAAAAUGGUGCCGUAACUUCGGGAGAAGGCACGCUGAUAUGUAGGUGAAGCGACUUGCUCGUGGAGCUGAAAUCAGUCGAAGAUACCAGCUGGCUGCAACUGUUUAUUAAAAACACAGCACUGUGCAAACACGAAAGUGGACGUAUACGGUGUGACGCCUGCCCGGUGCCGGAAGGUUAAUUGAUGGGGUCAGCGCAAGCGAAGCUCUUGAUCGAAGCCCCGGUAAACGGCGGCCGUAACUAUAACGGUCCUAAGGUAGCGAAAUUCCUUGUCGGGUAAGUUCCGACCUGCACGAAUGGCGUAAUGAUGGCCAGGCUGUCUCCACCCGAGACUCAGUGAAAUUGAACUCGCUGUGAAGAUGCAGUGUACCCGCGGCAAGACGGAAAGACCCCGUGAACCUUUACUAUAGCUUGACACUGAACAUUGAGCCUUGAUGUGUAGGAUAGGUGGGAGGCUUUGAAGUGUGGACGCCAGUCUGCAUGGAGCCGACCUUGAAAUACCACCCUUUAAUGUUUGAUGUUCUAACGUGGACCCGUAAUCCGGGUUGCGGACAGUGUCUGGUGGGUAGUUUGACUGGGGCGGUCUCCUCCUAAAGAGUAACGGAGGAGCACGAAGGUUGGCUAAUCCUGGUCGGACAUCAGGAGGUUAGUGCAAUGGCAUAAGCCAGCUUGACUGCGAGCGUGACGGCGCGAGCAGGUGCGAAAGCAGGUCAUAGUGAUCCGGUGGUUCUGAAUGGAAGGGCCAUCGCUCAACGGAUAAAAGGUACUCCGGGGAUAACAGGCUGAUACCGCCCAAGAGUUCAUAUCGACGGCGGUGUUUGGCACCUCGAUGUCGGCUCAUCACAUCCUGGGGCUGAAGUAGGUCCCAAGGGUAUGGCUGUUCGCCAUUUAAAGUGGUACGCGAGCUGGGUUUAGAACGUCGUGAGACAGUUCGGUCCCUAUCUGCCGUGGGCGCUGGAGAACUGAGGGGGGCUGCUCCUAGUACGAGAGGACCGGAGUGGACGCAUCACUGGUGUUCGGGUUGUCAUGCCAAUGGCACUGCCCGGUAGCUAAAUGCGGAAGAGAUAAGUGCUGAAAGCAUCUAAGCACGAAACUUGCCCCGAGAUGAGUUCUCCCUGACUCCUUGAGAGUCCUGAAGGAACGUUGAAGACGACGACGUUGAUAGGCCGGGUGUGUAAGCGCAGCGAUGCGUUGAGCUAACCGGUACUAAUGAACCGUGAGGCUUAACCUU